Molecule: ribosomal RNA, 411 nt
Filed under: Pseudomonas fluorescens
Lineage: Bacteria; Pseudomonadati; Pseudomonadota; Gammaproteobacteria; Pseudomonadales; Pseudomonadaceae
Description: bacterial SSU rRNA
Rfam family: Bacterial small subunit ribosomal RNA
Source: RNAcentral
AUCCAGCCAUGCCGCGUGUGUGAAGAAGGUCUUCGGAUUGUAAAGCACUUUAAGUUGGGAGGAAGGGCAUUAACCUAAUACGUUAGUGUUUUGACGUUACCGACAGAAUAAGCACCGGCUAACUCUGUGCCAGCAGCCGCGGUAAUACAGAGGGUGCAAGCGUUAAUCGGAAUUACUGGGCGUAAAGCGCGCGUAGGUGGUUUGUUAAGUUGGAUGUGAAAUCCCCGGGCUCAACCUGGGAACUGCAUUCAAAACUGACUGACUAGAGUAUGGUAGAGGGUGGUGGAAUUUCCUGUGUAGCGGUGAAAUGCGUAGAUAUAGGAAGGAACACCAGUGGCGAAGGCGACCACCUGGACUAAUACUGACACUGAGGUGCGAAAGCGUGGGGAGCAAACAGGAUUAGAUACCCUG